UCGGAUUACUGGGCGUAAAGCGUGCGCAGGCGGAUUGUUAAGCAAGACGUGAAAGCCCCGGGCUUAACCUGGGAAUGGCGUUUUGAACUGGCAGUCUAGAGUGCGUCAGAGGGGGGUGGAAUUCCACGUGUAGCAGUGAAAUGCGUAGAGAUGUGGAGGAACACCAAUGGCGAAGGCAGCCCCCUGGGAUGACACUGACGCACAUGUACGAAAGCGUGGGUAGCAAACAGGAUUAGAUACCCUGGUAGUCCACGCCCUAAACGAUGUCAACUGGUUGUUGGGGGAGUGAAAUCCCUUACUAACGAAGCUAACGCGUGAAGUUGACCGCCUGGGGAGUACGGUCGCAAGAUUAAAACUCAAAGGAAUUGACGGGGACCCGCACAAGCGGUGGAUGAUGUGGAUUAAUUCGAUGCAACGCGAAAAACCUUACCUACCCUUGACAUGUCCAGGAUCCUGCAGAGAUGCGGGAGUGCCCGAAAGGGAAUUGGAACACAGGUGCUGCAUGGCUGUCGUCAGCUCGUGUCGUGAGAUGUUGGGUUAAGUCCCGCAACGAGCGCAACCCUUAUCAUUAGUUGCUACGCAAGGGCACUCUAAUGAGACUGCCGGUGACAAACCGGAGGAAGGUGGGGAUGACGUCAAGUCCUCAUGGCCCUUAUGGGUAGGGCUUCACACGUCAUACAAUGGUCGGUACAGAGGGUUGCCAAGCCGCGAGGUGGAGCCAAUCCCAGAAAGCCGAUCGUAGUCCGGAUUGUUCUCUGCAACUCGAGAGCAU
RNAcentral lists this ribosomal RNA (772 nucleotides) under uncultured bacterium. RNAcentral describes it as "bacterial SSU rRNA". It matches the Rfam family "Bacterial small subunit ribosomal RNA", at positions 545 to 1321 of the family's 1533-position model. The record is from RNAcentral.